GGACCCGCACAAGUAGUGGAGCAUGUGGUUUAAUUCGAAGAUACGCGCAGAACCUUACCAACACUUGACAUGUUCGUCGCGACUUUGAGAGAUCAAAGUUUUCGGUUCGGCCGGACGAAACACAGGUGCUGCAUGGCUGUCGUCAGCUCGUGUCGUGAGAUGUUGGGUUAAGUCCCGCAACGAGCGCAACCCUCACUUUUAGUUGCCAUCAUUUAGUUGGGCACUCUGAAAGAACUGCCAGUGAUAAGCUGGAGGAAGGUGGGGAUGACGUCAAGUCCUCAUGGCCCUUACGUGUUGGGCUACACACGUGCUACAAUGGUAUCUACAACAGGAAGCAAAACUGCGAAGUUAAGCAAAUCCUUAAAAGAUACCUCAGUUCGGAUUGCACUCUGCAACUCGAGUGCAUGAAGCUGGAAUUACUAGUAAUCGUGGAUC
Molecule: ribosomal RNA, 435 nt
Filed under: uncultured bacterium
Lineage: Bacteria
Description: bacterial SSU rRNA
Rfam family: Bacterial small subunit ribosomal RNA
Source: RNAcentral